Molecule: transfer RNA, 72 nt
Filed under: Toxocara canis (dog roundworm)
Lineage: Eukaryota; Metazoa; Nematoda; Chromadorea; Rhabditida; Toxocaridae
Rfam family: tRNA
About the family: Transfer RNA (tRNA) molecules are approximately 80 nucleotides in length. Their secondary structure includes four short double-helical elements and three loops (D, anti-codon, and T loops).
Source: Rfam by way of RNAcentral
CGGGCAGUAGCUCGGUGGCAGAGCUCUCGCUUCGUAUGCUGGAAGACCUGGGUUUGAUUCCCGGCUGUUUAC